UCCUGUGUACAACCUGUCUAGCUGACCGUAACGGGGUCAAAGGUUACUAAUGGAAAUGUAUACAAAGGCACAUGGCGAACACAUGAUCACAUCAUGUACUGUACAUUUUGGAGCGUGCAUGUACACAUCAAAACAACCAGAGUUUAUGCUCAUUAGUACGAAAACUGUCUCCGGGUCGGCAGCAUAUAUUCAUGAUUGCUUUACUUACGUCAUAAUACACAUAUCUCCUAAAGAAAAUGGAGUCCUCAGCAGCUAGACGAUUUGAGAAGGUUGAGCCCAAGGUGGGUUUCGAACUGAAGACCAUUGUUCUGACGUCAGCGUGCUUCAUCUAUGCCAUUGUCAUAUUCUUGACAGCGGCAUGCAUAAGCAAGGCAGUAGCAUCGACCAUGUCAUCAGCUUCCUUGACAUUGAAGCGCUAUCAGUUCUGGAGUAUUGACCACCAGACCACACUGGACAUGAAGCCGACAAGAGCACGCUCGACAAAGCACAUUUACCAGGGCUGAUACAUCACUGACCCAAACAACAAGGGAAUCUCAAAACUACUUACAUCGUCAAACAGUUGACCUAAUUAUUUGGAUAAUUUGGGCGAUGAUGAUGCAAUAUGCCAUUCUAAAAUGAUGUGCAUAAUGAAUUGACCGAUUUUCCUAUUGCAAUCCGCGCCGUAGCGAUUGCGCUGCCUCAAUAAAUUGCAACGUGGCCCAGAUACUGCGGAACUGUAUACGGACUAUCAAUAGAAAGAAUGUAAUGGAUUGUAAUCGGACGACAACGGGGGUUGUAACUUUUCGUUUUCAAUGUAAUGUUACAAACAAAGACUUUCCGAAAGAAUUUGGACCAUGCACGGCCAUGCACGUGCGAAAGUCUACUACGAAAUACGUUCGACCCCGAACAGCAGUGCGGACGAACACAUUAUUGACAGCCAUUGGAUGUGAGAUGUUCUGUUUUAAUCAAAUGUCAAUUAAACUAAGAAUGAAUUGUGGAUGUGAUGAGUGUCAGGUGUACGCCAUUGAAUAUAAGUGAUCAUGAAUGUAAGUUGGGAAAUUUAUAUUGAUAUGAGAUACUUAACAUUUUAAAGAAUAUCUUGAGAGACUGUAUAUGUUUUGAUCUCUCUUGAUAAACAAACAAAAUUUGUUAUAUUAAAAUGUUAGUUUUUUUGUCGUGAAUUUGAAAGUGUGUACAGACUACAACAAUAGAAAAAUAUUUAUUUUCAAAAUCGUUUCUGUUCAACAAGACGUCAUUGUCUAACUUUCUGGCGUUUUCAUAUAGAGAGAUAUUGAGAGAGAUUUAGUUUGAAAUGUUCAUUGUCUUUCAUUAAUACAUGCAUGUAUAUAUGUAGAUAAUCAGAAAUCACAUACCAAUGUCAAUGUUGAUUGAAGAAUGAAAAGAAAUCACAAGUAUAUCAACUAGAGUUAAUUUGUGUUUGGGUGUGCAGAAUGAGUGUGACGAAUGUUUAUUUUUUUGUAUUAUUGUUAUAAUCUGUUGCUUUUCACAGAGAAAUGUUGUUAAUAAAUUACAAAACACUA
Long non-coding RNA from Mizuhopecten yessoensis (Yesso scallop), 1520 nucleotides. RefSeq lists it as uncharacterized. The record is from RefSeq and is a predicted model, not a curated record. The transcript has 3 exons. Lineage: Eukaryota; Metazoa; Mollusca; Bivalvia; Pectinida; Pectinidae.